RNAcentral lists this ribosomal RNA (1782 nucleotides) under Triticum aestivum (bread wheat). RNAcentral's name for it is "partial small subunit ribosomal RNA". The record is from RNAcentral. Lineage: Eukaryota; Viridiplantae; Streptophyta; Magnoliopsida; Poales; Poaceae.
AUGUGGAAACAGAGAUCAAGGAUCAAAUGGCUGCGAGAAGGAGACAAGAACACAGAGUUUUUCCAUAGGAAGGCUACCUGGAGGAGAAAGAAAAACAAGAUAGCCAAACUGAGGAGAGAGGACGGAUCAUGGGCAGAUAACAGAGAGCAGAUUCACAGUGAAAUCAAUAAUUACUUCAAGGGUCUAUAUGAGAAGGACAAUGCGGUGGAUCCUCAACCACUGAUAGAUUUGAUCCCCAACAAGGUUGAGAGUUAUAUGAAUGAUGCGCUGAUUAAGCCGUUCACAGAAAAAGAGAUCAGAGACGCAUUGUUCCAGAUUGGUCCGUUAAAGGCUCUGGGACCGGACGGCUUCCCCGCAUGGUUCUUUCAAAAGAAUUGGGCUGUUCUCAAAGAGGAGAUAAUUGAAGGUGUUCUUAGCUUCUUUGAGAAGGGGGAGAUGCCGGAAGGGGUGAAUGUGACCACGAUUGUUCUAAUCCCAAAAACAAAUGACCCUCAAAGCAUCAAGGAUUAUCGCCCAAUCAGUCUAUGCAACGUUCUGUACAAAAUUAUCUCCAAGGUGUUGGUCAAUAGGCUGAGACCCUUCCUCGAUGAUCUCAUUUCUGAAACGCAAAGCGCCUUCAUCCCAGGAAGAAUGAUAGCAUUUGAAUGUUUCCACAAGAUACAUAACUUUAAAAAUAAGAGGGACACUCACUGUGCAUACAAACUAGACCUCGCAAAAGCUUAUGAUCGUGUUGACUGGAUCUUCUUGGAGGGAGCUCUAAGAAAAUGGGGUUUUGACGAAAAAUGGAUCAAAUGGGUAAUGACAUGUGUCAGAUCAGUGAAGUUUUCAGUUCGGUGCAAUGGGGAGAUGUUGGAUCUGUUUACCCCAACUAGGGGUUUAAGACAAGGUGACCCACUAAGCCCAUAUUUAUUUUUAUUUGUGGCUGACGGUUUAGUUUCUCUUCUGAAGAAAGAGUCAGACUUGGGAGGCAUAACAACCAUCAAAAUUGCACGUGCAAGUCCGGGGAUUUCAAACCUUCUGUUCACCGACGACAGCCUGCUUUUUUUCAAAGCUACGGUUGAUCAGGCGCGAAAGGUGAGAGAGGUGUUGGAAGCUUAUCAAAAUGCAACGGGCCAACUGCUUAGUCAGGCCAACUGCUCCUUGCUCCUGUCAGACUCAACACCAUCCCAAGUCAGAGAAAGCAUCAAGAAGACAUUGGGUGUUGAGGCAAUUUGCUUCGAUAGUAAGUACCUAGGGCUCCCCACCCCCGAAGGCAGAAUGAAGGAUGAUAAAUUCCAGCCGAUCAUAGAGAGGUUUGGAAAGAGGUGUAAUGGGUGGAAUGAAAGGUUCAUGUCACAGGCAGCAAAGGAGGUGAAUGUUAAAGCUGUGGCACAAGCUCUUCCCACUUUUAUCAUGGGCGUUUUUAGAUUAAACCAAAGCUUUUGUGACAAGUAUGAAAAGCUUAUAAGAGAUUUCUGGUGGGGGGAUAAAGAGGAGAAGAGGAAGGUGCACUGGAUGUCAUUGGAGGAUAUGACAAGGCCUAAGAGAGCUGGUGGUAUAGGUUUUCGUGAUAUGCACCUUUUUAACCAAGCGUUGCUAUCCAGACAAGGUUGGAGACUAAUCCAAAAUCCAGAUAGUCUAUGUGCGAGGGUCCUUAAGUCCAAAUAUUUUCCAAAUGGGAACAUCACCGAUACUGUAUUUGCGUCCGAUGUAUCCCGUCAUGGAGAGGUAUUGAGUUUGGUCUGGAACUACUUAAAAAGGGCCUUAUUUGGAGAAUUGGAAAUGGAAGGAGGAUACAAAUAA